GGUAAAUAAAUACUGAUCCAUGGCUUUUGGGACUUUGUGUGGAUCAAUGCUUGCAAAGUCCUCCUGAGGAAUGGUAUCGAUGUACCUGUAAUGCGAACAAACCCUCAUCACUAAAAGCUUCUGUUAUCACAGGUGCAAGCAGCAGGGUGCCUAGUUUACAUACACAGUGGAAGAUUUGGAGAGUCGUCUGUCUGAGGCAGUAGUUGAGACAAGAACAGAUCCUAUCUCUGCUGUCAUUAAGAGGAUUCUGGUUGGCUCCUUUACCUGGAGAAGGUGGUGAAGAUAUAGACGUGCAGUAGAGUGUUAAUCUUCCCAGUUUAUACAAAGUACAUGAUUGGAGGCGUUCCUGGAGGAACUGUAGCGCAAAUGCAACGAUCCUUACCUUCAGUUUCAGACGUGUGAGGCGACGGAGACCAUGAAGAACCUGCACCGUCUCUUGGAGAUGCACAAUAUGGUUAUUGGAUGCAUCAAGCACAUUAAGGGUCAGGGAGGAAGACAAAGGCAGAAGGCUGGAGAUCCGAUUGUUCUGAAUAUACAGUUCAUAUAGCCGGGGGAGAAUCUGAAUCCCAUCCAGAGAGUCCAACUGCAGAAUAAAGAUGUGCAACAAACAGUG
Molecule: long non-coding RNA, 613 nt
Organism: Bombina bombina (fire-bellied toad)
Lineage: Eukaryota; Metazoa; Chordata; Amphibia; Anura; Bombinatoridae
Exons: 3
Source: RefSeq, a predicted model, not a curated record